Molecule: small nucleolar RNA, 67 nt
Organism: Heterocephalus glaber (naked mole-rat)
Lineage: Eukaryota; Metazoa; Chordata; Mammalia; Rodentia; Bathyergidae
Source: Ensembl
GGGCAGCGGUGCUUGAAUUUCUUCACCUGAAGUCACUGUAAACUGAGCUUUUUAACACUGAGUCACA